AUAAGGGAAUCCCGCGUUGUUCUACUCCUUCGCGCCUAGCAUUCUAGUCCCAAGAGAGGGGAUCAUGCUCGCCUCAAUUUCCCCAAGCUCUUUCUUGGCAGGGAUGGUGCUGCUACUCUUCCAUGUUCAUCACCCCCAACUCCCAUUGCAAAUCCUCACCAACCCAGCAGUAACAGUCGCCGCCUCAGCCUCAUUCGGAAGCUCAACAUGUGGAGACUGCACCCAUGCCUCACUACUAGAAAGUUAUAUAAUUAGAGGCGAUAAGUCAGAGGCGUUUGAUAAAAAUUGCCUCUGAAAAUGUUGAAUUACAACGGUUUGAAUUAAUUAUUAUUAAGGCACUUCGUCAAUGCCUCUAUUCUAGUUACCGAGAGACUGGUUAGUGUUUGGGCUCGCUGAGAGAGAGAGAGAGAAAUGAGGGUUUUGCAACUUGCAUUUGAAUUCGAACCCCUCGUUCCAUUCGAUCAGAGGAGGCAUUCUUUGAACCGAAUUCGUCAAAAAGUUAAGUAACGGUGAUAAAUCUUAUGAAACAUAGUUUGAAACUGUGACUAUCUGCGUUGAAGAUGGAGGAAGCAAAACCUCUCAUUUCGACGAAUAAUUCACAUUAUAGCGAUGACGAUGGCAUUGAAGCUCGGUUUACGAAGCUCUACAAGAGCGGACUAUCGUUUGGCGAAAGAAUAUUUUCUGAAGCUAUGUAGUUGCUCGAUCAGAGAAAUCAAGCGCCUUCUUUUGGCAAAUACGGCUUAAGGAUUUUGUUUCUAGUUUCACCUUCAGCAUUGAUCGGCAGUUACUUGCUUCAGGAAGCUUUGAUGGGCUUAUCCAAUAAGUAUGAGGCAUAUCUUCAGCUUGGAUUAUAAAUCUUCAGUGGUCCGGAUCAUAUUGCAGGCAGAGCAAAGCAGGAUGCUGCCUUCCAAAGACUGGGGAGCCAGACCGAGACUUCUUUAUUAGGAGCUUGAUUCCCUUCUCCCAGAAUGGAAAACAACUCAAGAAAUGCAGCAGAAGUCCUUUUGACAAAAAUGAGGUAGUACAAUAUUCAUUUUAUCUAACAACAAAUUCCUCUUUGCUCUCUUUGAAUUUUGUCACACCAGAACUAGCUCAAGCUAUGGACAUCAAAAUCCAUACAGUUCUCUGACCUGUUGGAUCAACUUAAUUUGUACUGGUCUAACAUCAAAUGCCCAAGCAACGAUGGGAGGUUCUUGUGGAAAAGUGCAUGGAAAACAUAUGGAGUGUGCUCUGCGCUUAGUCAGCAUGAUUACUUUGAGAGGGCAUUGAAACUUAGAUCUGAUGACAAUAUGCUUAGCAUACUAGGGGAGAAUGGUGAGUUGCUCCCUCAUUUUAUCUAAGUAUUUUUGUAUUCUCCAACAUGGGCAUAUGCAGGUAUUAUUCCUACAGAUUAUGUUGACUACAGUCUGAUUGAAGUAGAGGAAGCCAUUAACAAUGAAUUUGAAGAUGCAGCUGCAAUUCGUUGUAGUGUUGAUUAUAAGAAUGGUAAAUCUCAGCUUUAUGAAAUCUAUGUCUGCGUGGACAAGUAUGCAAACAAAAUCAUCCCCUUGGUAGAGGAAGUUAAUGCACUGAAGUACCAAAUGUCAGAUGAAGCACUUCAACAGAUGCCAGACUUUCAGGGCCGGAUUGAUGUACUGAAUGAAAUUGACUGCAUAGAUGCUGAUCUUGUAGUUCAGAUCAAGAGUGUUGCAUGUGAAAUGAAUUCUGGGGAAGAGUUGACAUUGCACAGAGUGUUUGUUUGAGAACCAACUAGAUGAUCUGCCCUUGUAUUUCAACAGAAGAACCAGAAGAAGCUGAGCCUACUCUUACUUUCAAGAAUGCACUCGGUAAGAGAUUUGAAGUCCUUGUAUUUUUUAUGUCAA
Nelumbo nucifera (sacred lotus) is the source of this 1862-nucleotide non-coding RNA. Lineage: Eukaryota; Viridiplantae; Streptophyta; Magnoliopsida; Proteales; Nelumbonaceae. The record is from RefSeq and is a predicted model, not a curated record.